RNAcentral lists this ribosomal RNA (253 nucleotides) under uncultured bacterium. Its description in RNAcentral is "partial 16S ribosomal RNA". It matches the Rfam family "Bacterial small subunit ribosomal RNA", at positions 524 to 776 of the family's 1533-position model. The record is from RNAcentral.
UACGUAGGGUGCGAGCGUUAACCGGAAUUACUGGGCGUAAAGCGUGCGCAGGCGGCGCGUUAAGACAGGUGUGAAAGCCCCGAGCUUAACUUGGGAAUUGCGCUUGUGACUGGCGUGCUGGAGUGUGGCAGAGGGAGGUGGAAUUCCACGUGUAGCAGUGAAAUGCGUAGAGAUGUGGAGGAACACCAAUUGCGAAGGCAGCUCGCUGGGACGUUACUGACGCUGAGACGCGAAAGCGUGGGGAGCAAACAGG